CCUACGGGUGGCUGCAGUGGGGAAUAUUGCACAAUGGGGGAAACCCUGAUGCAGCGACGCCGCGUGAAGGAAGAAGUAUUUCGGUAUGUAAACUUCUAUCAGCAGGGAAGAACAUGACGGUACCUGACUAAGAAGCCCCGGCUAACUACGUGCCAGCAGCCGCGGUAAUACGGAGGGGGCAAGCGUUAGCCGGAUUUACUGGGUGGAAAGGUAGCGUAGGCGGCGAUGCAAGUCAGAAGUGAAAGCCCGGGGCCCAACUCCGGGACUGCUUUUGAAACGGUGUUGCUAGAUUGCAGGAGAGGUAAGUGGAAUUCCUAGUGUAGCGGUGAAAUGCGUAGAUAUUAGGAGGAACACCAGUGGCGAAGGCGGCUUACUGGACUGUAAAUGACGCUGAGGCUCGAAAGCGUGGGGAGCAAACAGGAUUAGAUACCCGAGUAGUC
This 440-nucleotide ribosomal RNA is filed under the name uncultured bacterium. RNAcentral's name for it is "partial 16S ribosomal RNA". It matches the Rfam family "Bacterial small subunit ribosomal RNA", at positions 338 to 795 of the family's 1533-position model. The record is from RNAcentral.